This 1156-nucleotide long non-coding RNA is filed under the name Physcomitrium patens. Its description in RNAcentral is "long non-coding RNA (PPAT_LNC003979)". Lineage: Eukaryota; Viridiplantae; Streptophyta; Bryopsida; Funariales; Funariaceae. The record is from RNAcentral.
UCCUCAUCCUGCCUGGACCGUGGAACCCAGCUUCUAAUUUUCCCUGCGCCUUUAUCGCAGGCCAGUGCGCGUCGCAUUGACUGGCGUAUAGCUUACUCAGGCGAUUCUAGCUCAACGCCUGGCCUCGUGCUCUCCAUUUCUAGGGCACAGCCAGAUCCUCACUGGACAAAAAGCACCCGAAUGUGCAACUCUCAUGAUUCAUGCACUCUCCACCCUAUCCUCUCCACCCUUCCCCCCUCUCUCUUUCUCUCCAGGCCUUGACGGCCCUCCUGGCGUUGCCAAACCCAGGCCAUGAACUCGCAUCGCGCCUGCUCCGGAGUUUGACCUAAUUUCGCGUAGCCAGGAUUAGAAAUACGACUGUCGCAAUUAGCCUCUGGAGAAUCGUUUGUCUUUUCGGUUGCUUCCAAAUGGGUUUUAUUUAUUUAUUUGUUUAUUUUUCCCUUUCAAGUUGGUUGUGCAUGCCCAACUGAUGAGCGGAUUUCCACAACCCAGCGUCUGCCACUCCUGAUUGUGGUAUAAUGAUAAUAAUGUUGGUUUUUUCUCAUUCCUUUUAAGGGUCUCUCUGUGUUUGGUUUUGUUGAUGGUUGUUGAAUAACCUAAAUGGUCUCACCACACAAAGCACCCACUAAACCUACUACUCUUUUUUUCCUUCCCUUCAACUCACAAAUACUCCAUGCUUGGCAACCACCUCUCCCUAGUACCAAUACCUACACUGGGAGUAUUACCACUUUGUGAUGGAUGCCUCACUCCUUCCCCUUGUGGGAACACCCCAACCACUGGAGAAGAUGGAGAUAUGGCAUCUACUGUUCUGUGGCGGAAAAUGGACAGGAUCUCCAGCAGAAAUGACAUUCUCCCAUGGUGGAAAAAAAUGUCAUGGGCUCCAUCCAGCCUACACUUCCAUAGAAGAAGUUGCACCCUAUGCUCCAUUCUGACAUGUAUAUAAACAUAUAUGACAAAUAACAACACUCUGUUUUAUUACCUUUGCCAAGGUACCCCACAAUGUGUGUGUAGGGUGAGCUGGAGUCUCUGCUUGCAACAUACAGCUGUAAAUUUGUUAUUAAUAAGGAGCAUACAUGGAGAUUAUGGAAGUUUAUCAUUUAUUGAAUAAAUAAUGAAAGUAAAUGCAAUCCACAUGAUUGACUCAUUCAUGAACACC